This 642-nucleotide ribosomal RNA is filed under the name uncultured Actinomycetes bacterium. Its description in RNAcentral is "bacterial SSU rRNA". It matches the Rfam family "Bacterial small subunit ribosomal RNA", at positions 232 to 885 of the family's 1533-position model. Lineage: Bacteria; Bacillati; Actinomycetota; Actinomycetes. The record is from RNAcentral.
CGCGGCCUAUCAGCUUGUUGGUGGGGUAAUGGCCUACCAAGGCGACGACGGGUAGCCGGCCUGAGAGGGUGAUCGGCCACACUGGGACUGAGACACGGCCCAGACUCCUGCGGGAGGCAGCAGUGGGGAAUAUUGCACAACGGGCGAAAGCCUGAUGCAGCGACGCCGCGUGGGGGAUGACGGUCUUCGGAUUGUAAACCCCUUUCAGUAGGGACGAAGCGCAAGUGACGGUACCUGCAGAAGAAGCACCGGCUAACUACGUGCCAGCAGCCGCGGUAAUACGUAGGGUGCGAGCGUUGUCCGGAAUUACUGGGCGUAAAGAGCUCGUAGGCGGUUUGUCACGUCGUCUGUGAAAUCCCUCGGCUUAACCGGGGGCGUGCAGGCGAUACGGGCAGACUUGAGUACUACAGGGGAGACUGGAAUUCCUGGUGUAGCGGUGAAAUGCGCAGAUAUCAGGAGGAACACCGGUGGCGAAGGCGGUUCUCUGGGCCUUACCUGACGCUGAGGAGCGAAAGCGUGGGGAGCGAACAGGAUUAGAUACCCUGGUAGUCCACGCUGUAAACGUUGGGCGCUAGGUGUGGGGACCUUCCACGGUUUCCGCGCCGUAGCUAACGCAUUAAGCGCCCCGCCUGGGGAGUACGG